Long non-coding RNA from Mauremys mutica (yellowpond turtle), 1181 nucleotides. RefSeq lists it as uncharacterized. The record is from RefSeq and is a predicted model, not a curated record. Lineage: Eukaryota; Metazoa; Chordata; Testudines; Geoemydidae. The transcript has 6 exons.
GGUGCUGGAACAGUGGCAAUCAUGCAACAGUUAGCUCUGCUUGAAAUAAGUCUAAAUGAAAUGGUAGCUGUAGUGCCUGUGCCCGGUGGGAGUACUUAUAUGGGUGGACAUGAAGGAGAAAGUUUCUAAGGAUCUGAAGGUUGCCAAUGGGUUUCAAUGGCCGAUAGUGGGAGUAGCCUUUCCUGGUAGCUGCUGAGAAAAGCUGAUUGGGGAAGAGUGACCACAUGUAUUUUGGCGAGGCUGGCUGUGCGUCCCUUGUUCCACUACUUUUCCAUUAUGAAUCAUUGCUAUGACAUCAGCGUUCUGGACGGUCGUCAAGCGGUGAGCAAUAAUAAUGCAGGUUCGACCCUUCCUGGCAUCGUCCAAGGCUUUCUGGACAAUCUGCAGACAGAUGCAGUGAAAAACUUACUAUUACUUGGAGAAUCUUCCCUUUUAUAGGAAGGAAGCUCUGAGUAUGAGGUAGCAAGGAAGAAGACUUGAAGACAAGAGUGAGUGAAGGAGAUGUUAGGAGAGACUGUAGGAGCCUCCUCUGCUGCCUGGGGGAUGAGACAGCUUCAGGACCACAUUACCAGCACUACGACGUUUUCUUAGAAGAAGUCUUUCUGCUUGUAUGCCUUCCGGAUCUCUUAGGAAUGCUUCCCAUCUCAGUGAUUCCUGGUUUUUCAAAACCACCAAGAUCAGUCAGAUUCUCCAUCCUGAGAUCAUCUAAAUCCUCUUCCUCAUAGUCUUCAUCUUCUGUCUCUUCAUCGCUUUCUGACAUCUCAUUUUGAGUGUUUUCACCAUGACCCUAGUGACAAGCAAGGAACAGUGAUACACAGUCACAAGACAGUUUGUAGCAAGGGAAAGGAACAUGUACUUGGUAUGGAAACAAACAAAACCACCAUCACUUUGGUUACAUUGUCACUUUCAUAUGGUAGUUUGUAUAGGCCAAGUAUUCUGCCAGUAUAAGUUGGUGCAGUUGCAACUUACACCAGCAGAGAAUUUGGCUCUGUAUGUCCCCCCGCACUAUCUAUAUAGUUCUGUGAUGAUGUCAUCCACCUCUUUUGCUCAGUUAUAUUUGACUCAUUACACUGUGUAAAUGUGAAGCUACCGGUGAAAAACAACCACUUCCAACUCAGAAACAAGAUUGACUGAUCAACUUUCACUAAACUAGAAAAUAUGCAGAAACUGCAAAGUGAAAA